This is a long non-coding RNA of Mirounga angustirostris (Northern elephant seal), 2384 nucleotides long. RefSeq lists it as uncharacterized. The record is from RefSeq and is a predicted model, not a curated record. The transcript has 4 exons. Lineage: Eukaryota; Metazoa; Chordata; Mammalia; Carnivora; Phocidae.
ACUUAACCAACUGAGCCACCCAGGCGCCCCAAAAUCUCAGGCUUAAAAGUCUCACUAUCUCCCAUAUUUGAGUAGAUUGGCUCCGCGGGUUUGUCCAAAUCCCAUCAGUAAGGUCCCGCACAAGGAGGUGAUUCUGUUGGCGAUUAGAAUUUCCCCAACGUUUUGUCACUCCCUAGAGUGUUAAGUUAUGCCCUGCCACGGCAUACAUCAACAUUUCAUGGAAGGGAUGUUUGGUUUGGUGAGGCAUGGCCCUGAACUUACAAAUUCACUGGAGAUUCUUUUUGGUUUUCUCCUUACAUGGUAAUUAAUAGCCACUUCCCUGGAAUGGCUCAUCACGUGAUGUGGAAAAUAAAGGCAAAAGAAAAAUUAAAUGUUCUUACUACUUACAGCCCAUUGACAAGUCCUUGGAACAGGCAGAGUGACCUUCCUCUAGGGACUCAGCUGCCUCGAUGUUAAUACUUUGCUUAAGGGCAAAAGGCAAUCUUAGCCCGACCCCCAGGAUCCUGUAAGUCUACUAUAACAUAUUAAAGUUCCUUUGGAAACUUCCUUUCUCUCUACCCCCUCCCCCAAGAUAUAUGUUGGCAAUCAUCCCCCAAGCAGAUGACCCACCAAUAUGCAUCAGAAGGAUCUCAUGACUAAGGUUUUUUUUUUUUUUUUAAGAUUUUAUUUAUUUAUUUGAGACAGAGAGAAUGAGAGACAGAUAGCAUGAGAGAGAGGAGGGUCAGAGGGAGAAGCAGACUCCCCGCCGAGCAGGGAGCCCGAUGUGGGACUCAAUCCAGGGACUCCAGGAUCUUGACCUGAGCCGAAGGCAGUCGCUUAACCAACUGAGCCACCCAGGCGCCGCCCCCCCCCCCCUUUUUUUAAGAUUUUAUUUAUUUAUUUGACAGAGAGAGAGAGCACAAGCUGGGGGAGCAGCAGAGGGAGAGGGAGAAGCAGGCUUCCCGUGGAGCAGGGAGCCCGAUGUGGGACUCCAUCCCAGGACCCUGGGAUCAUGACCUGAGCCAAAGGCAGACACUUAACCAACUGAGCCACCCAGGCGCCCCUCAUGACUAAGGUUUUAUCAGACCGUAAUAAAUGACCUUUUCCCAACAACAGCUAGCCCCCUCAAGGUCCUGGAAACCUUGCUUCCAAAAUUCCAUAGAGAUAUACACUCUCCUGAAUCCCCUCCCACCUUGAAAGUAUAUAAUGGGCCACUCCUCAUGACCCCAGUGCACCAAUUUCUGCCCACGGGUCCUGUCCUGGUGCUUUCAUAAAGCCACCUUUUUGCACCAAAGAUGUCUCAAAAAUGCCUUCUUGGCCGUAGGCUUCCAACGCUAACGUCUUUCCUGCAUCAUCACGUGGCCCACUGCCCCUGCAUUUCCGAGGCUCGAGGUCUGUGCAUCCUGGAAUUCUGUUCCACCGCCCCCUCUACUGGAGGGCGGAUGACCGACUCACCCACCAUUCCUUCCACUGUGGACUAGCCUCGCUCAGGCACACAGUUCGUCUUGAAGACACAGAAGCCCGGGAGCGGCAGAGACUGGUGGCUACAUUCGGAGAACAAUGGAGCUGCCACAGCCUUUGUGUUUUCAUUUCCCUGCUGCUUUUCCUCUGAGCGCAGCAUGUUCUCAGACCUCAUUCUGUGCAAUUACCCUAUAAGGCGAAGGCAAGGAGUCAGGGCAAGCCCCACGGAGGUCAAAAGGGCCCAGAUCUCCUGGCAUGCUGCUUUCCUUGCCCUGGGCUGCUGGCUUGCCAUAAGGCCUGCUAAUAGACCAUUUGGUAGCCUUUUUAGAGCGGUUUGCGGAAAAUCAAGAGACUUUACUUGCAGCUAAGAAAAGAAAAUAUGAUCAACUUUCACUUCCGGUUUUUAUAUUCUGGGUUGCUAGCUGGCAACCUUUUCCGGCUCCGGGACACCUGAGAAAUAGCACAACUACAACAGGGGUUAUGUGCUCUGUAAUCCUUUUUACCCAGAUUCUGAAUCAGAACUAGCCUCUUGCCCAGCUGUGCACCCCAAGCCCUCUCCAGGGGGUACGACAGACAGACGGCUCAGGCGCGGGACAGGCAAGCGUAGUUUGGAAAAGUUGCCUCUCUAGGUCUGCGGUUGUCAGAGCGGCGUCCUUCGCUCCGCAGAAAUACGAAUCCUCAGCCCCACCCCAGGCCCGCGCUUCAGAAACCCCGGGGGCUGCGCCCAGGGAGCCCUCCAGGUCAGAUAAGCCAGCUGAAGUCUUUCCUAGCAGAAAAGUACAUUUCAGAUUCUAAGGGCUUUUAAAAGGGUUGACAAAUAUGAGUGGAGCCCAAAAGAAGUUGGGACUCAGGCAAAGAGAUGCCCCAAAGGAAGCCGCUACAGUGCCCUCCGGAGGCCCGGUCUUCAGUCCCAUCGUGCCACCUAGAAAUUCUCAGGGACACAG